RNAcentral lists this ribosomal RNA (253 nucleotides) under uncultured bacterium. RNAcentral describes it as "partial 16S ribosomal RNA". It matches the Rfam family "Bacterial small subunit ribosomal RNA", at positions 524 to 776 of the family's 1533-position model. The record is from RNAcentral.
UACGGGGGGGGCAAGCGUUGUUCGGAAUUACUGGGCGUAAAGGGCUCGUAGGCGGCCAACUAAGUCAGACGUGAAAUCCCUCGGCUUAACCGGGGAACUGCAUCUGAUACUGGAUGGCUCGAGUUUGGGAAAGGGAUGCGGAAUUCCAGGUGUAGCGGUGAAAUGCGUAGAUAUCUGGAGGAACACCGGUGGCGAAGGCGGCAUCCUGGACCAACACUGACGCUGAGGAGCGAAAGCCAGGGGAGCAAACGGG